GCAAACUUGGUCAUUUAGAGGAAGUAAAAGUCGUAACAAGGUCUCCGUAGGUGAACCUGCGGAGGGAUCAUUAACGAGUUAGGGUCUUCUUCAGGCCCGACCUCCCAACCCUUAUGUUUAACCGACCAUCGUUGCUUCGGCGGGCCCGUCCUGCGCGAGUAGGACCGCCGGAGGACGCCUCACACCGUCCUCUGGUCCGCGCCCGUCGAUGGCCAACUACAUCAAAAAUUCUUUUUAACCAAAAACGUAUUUGUCUGAGUUAUAAACCAAAAAUUAUAAGCAAAACUUUCAACAACGGAUCUCUUGGUUCUGGCAUCGAUGAAGAACGCAGC
This 332-nucleotide unclassified non-coding RNA is filed under the name uncultured fungus. RNAcentral describes it as "partial contains small subunit ribosomal RNA, internal transcribed spacer 1, and 5.8S ribosomal RNA". The stretch from base 1 to 73 matches the Rfam family "Eukaryotic small subunit ribosomal RNA", at positions 1759 to 1831 of the family's 1831-position model. The record is from RNAcentral. Lineage: Eukaryota; Fungi.